UAAUACCCCCCUCUGUUUCUCAUUUCAUACCAAACAAACCUUAUACCACCCUCUCUCUCUUCUCACCCCUUCCCCUCUAAGAAACCCUAGCCGCUGCCUUACACCCCUCUUCUCUUUCAUCCCAAAAAUGGCAACGACACAUAGAUGGCAGCGUUUGCGCAGUCUUGUACCAUCUAUUUCAGGCUAACAAUUAAUGCUUCAAUGUUUUUCACUCAAAACUGUCCAAACACGGUACAGACGCACCCGGUGAUACGCCGCCAGUCUAGGACACUGAUUCUGCUGUUUUGGGAGAGCUCCUUUGAUCCGGAGCGUGUACUUUUGGUAUAUAUCUUCUGACAUCUAUAUAUUCUGUAUGUAUGGUAACUUGGGGUACGGCGGGGCCCUGUCCCGUCAUCUGAUUCUAUAUGUCCGAUUAGAGGCCUGUAGAUAUGUAUGUGGGUUAUGGGUUGUCACUGUUCAGGUAGGUAUGUACGAGUUUGCUAUUCUGUCUGCUAUGAUAGCCUUAACGGCUUAAGUGUAAGUCUAAGUAUGCUUAUGUAUGUAUAUGUUCUCGCGCGCUGUAUUUUAUUU
Lycium barbarum (goji berry) is the source of this 570-nucleotide long non-coding RNA. RefSeq lists it as uncharacterized. The transcript has 2 exons. NCBI's taxonomy places the organism in Eukaryota, Viridiplantae, Streptophyta, Magnoliopsida, Solanales, Solanaceae. The record is from RefSeq and is a predicted model, not a curated record.